Long non-coding RNA from Helianthus annuus (common sunflower), 1759 nucleotides. RefSeq lists it as uncharacterized. Lineage: Eukaryota; Viridiplantae; Streptophyta; Magnoliopsida; Asterales; Asteraceae. The record is from RefSeq and is a predicted model, not a curated record. The transcript has 5 exons.
CUUCACUUCUCAUAUCGCAUUAGGAUUUUAGCUUCUUCACCACGCUUCCACCUCCCUCAUUCACAUUCUCUCUCCAUUAAGAAACCCUAGCCUCCUCCCUGUGAAUCAACCCUACGUAUCUUCAUCCCCAAUUGCGAUUGUAAGCAACAUGUAAGUUUUUUUUUUUCUGAAUCUUCAAUGCUCUAAACCUAACUUUCUUUGAUUGGAGCUUCUUCUAAUCAAGAACCUUAAAUUCUACAUUGGCGAUUCCAAAUGUACGUUUUCACUAUUCGAUUUCAUCUAAUCUUCAACAAUGAUCUCGGGUUUCUGCAUCUUCAACCUUACAUCUCCCUCUCAUUCGUCUCAAAAUUGAAUCCCUUCACCAAGGUUCCACUCUGAUUGAUGUUGCGGUUGUUUGUUGCCGUUGCUGGUGAUUCACAACCGUCGUUGCCGCUCUUUUGGUGUUCAAUGGUGGUAUUAAUGUGGAUUUUGUGUUAUUAGUUUGUUCGAUUUGAUUCUAUUUCCCUUGAUUAAUCUAGGGUUUUCGAGAUUUGUGAUCAUUAUCUUAUUUUACUGUAAAUUCGUUUAUUAUUUAUUCCAUACAGUUUAACAUAUUUGUUCGUUAUAUAUAUAUAUAUAUAUAUAUAUAUAUAUAUAUAUAUAUAUAUAUAUAGUUAUUAAAGAAAUAUAGGUAUCAUUGUGUUUUAGAUCAAUAGGUAUUAUUGUGUUAAAAAAUGUCGUUUUAGAUUAUAUUGUGUAUAGAUUUUUUUCCAGAUUAAUUUUUUGCUACUAUUUCAAAAAAAAAUAUUGUUUUCAUAUUUUAUCUUUUAUUAUGUCUUAAUCAAUUGUUGUAUAAAGAUGUUUAAUGUUAUUAUUUUGUUAUUUAGUUUGAAUGAAGUAAUAGGAUGCACGAACAAUGCAGGUCUCUGAUCCAAACCACUCAGGUGUGUUCAGCCUCUCUAGCCAUAGAUAAGUUAGGAUGAAUCUUCCUCUGGUGGUGUCGGGUAAGGUGUACAAUCGAUGAUAGUGGGAUGUUGUGUUGAUAUCGGUGCAAAACAAAAUGAAACGCCACACGGGUUUCGAUCAGAAAUUUGGUGACCCCUACGAGCUGCGUGUUUCAUUUCAAAGUUAAUUGGUGAACGGAAGUAUACUCCUGAGCAUUUAGUAAGGAGAAAAUUAUUGUAGAUGGAAAUUGUGAUUUGGCAAUGAGGCAGCUUGCCAGUAUUGGCUUUAAGAAUUUUAUAGCUAUAAAGUGGACACCUCAUGAUCCAGGAGAUGAAUAUUGCGACGUGGGAAGCGGAAAUGAUGGACAUAGGAUAAGAGUGAGUCCACGUGUCUCCACUGGCCGGAGAGUGGUGGUGAAGAAGUGGCCACAUGGUGAUGCUGAUGCGUUUUUUGAAUGGUGUUAAGAAGCUUCAGAAAAGGAGAAGAUUUGGAAGAAAUGAAUUCAGUUCUUUUAGUAUAUGUGAUGCUCAGAAGAGAUUCAGAAACAUAUGCUUAUAGGUUGUUUAUGCUUUUGUGCUUUAUUUGAAGCUAACUGGUUGUUUAGUUUGCUUAUGGAUAGUUAUGUAAAGGGAUUUGUUUGUGUUUAGAAUAGUAGCAUUAUUGGAUAAAAAUUAAGAAGCAGUUUCAGUUGCCAGUUGAUUGAAAGUUCGGUUCUUUUCAAGGGCCAAUUCACAUUAUUUCGCUAUCAUUUCACAUGUGUUUUUUCAUUCUAAUAUCAGUUUGUUAUUUUUAGAUGAUGAAAGCUUUUUAUAUGAUAAUUAUAGCUCCUUUUUAU